This 253-nucleotide ribosomal RNA is filed under the name uncultured bacterium. RNAcentral describes it as "partial 16S ribosomal RNA". It matches the Rfam family "Bacterial small subunit ribosomal RNA", at positions 524 to 776 of the family's 1533-position model. The record is from RNAcentral.
UACGUAGGUGGCAAGCGUUGUCCGGAAUUACUGGGUGUAAAGGGCGUGUAGGCGGGAGCGCAAGUCAGAUGUGAAAACUCAGGGCUCAACCCUGAGCCUGCAUUUGAAACUGUGUUUCUUGAGUGCUGGAGAGGCAAUCGGAAUUCCGUGUGUAGCGGUGAAAUGCGUAGAUAUACGGAGGAACACCAGUGGCGAAGGCGGAUUGCUGGACAGUAACUGACGCUGAGGCGCGAAAGCGUGGGGAGCAAACAGG